RNA transcript from Oryza sativa Japonica Group (Japanese rice), 2695 nucleotides. It is a transcript of the gene named TPR repeat-containing thioredoxin TTL1, with no coding region annotated. Lineage: Eukaryota; Viridiplantae; Streptophyta; Magnoliopsida; Poales; Poaceae. The record is from RefSeq and is a predicted model, not a curated record.
GCAACCAUCCCCCUUCCUUCCCUUCCUUGCUUCUUCCUCCUCCCCCCUCCCUCUUCAUCCUCAACCACCACCACCACCCCGCGCGCGACGCCAUGCUCCGCCGCUAGCCCACACCCUCCCCCCACCCAGGCGCUCGGCGAAAUGUCCCACCGGGCGCCAAUGCCGGGGGGCUCCUCCUCCCUCUCCGACGCCCUCGCCGCCGCCGCGCUCCGCGACAAGCCCGACUCGCUCCCGCCGGGCCGCCUCUCCCCCGUCUCCCCCCUCGUCCACUCCAGGCUCCCCACUCCCACCUCCUCCUCCGGCUCCUCCGGCUCCGCUCCGCCGAGGCCCGCGCGGCGUGGUGGUGGUGACUACCACGGCGUCGGCGAGGGGUUCGGCCCGCUCAUCUACACGUCGUGCUCGUCGAGCGCGGGUGGUGGUGGCGGCGGCGUCGGCGCGAGCACGGCCACCUCGGCGCUCGCCGCCGGCGCGUUCCCCGCGGGGAACAUCUGCCCCUCCGGCCGCCUCCCCACCACGCCGCCGGUUCCGCCUCCCCGUGCCGCCCGCCGCGACGUGCUUGGCUCCGGCACCGGCAACUACGGCCACGGAAGCGUCGUCCGCGCGCGAUGUGCCGCUCCAGUCUCCUCCUCCGAGGACCACGCGUCGGCGGUCAGGAUGUCCGCGGCGGCGAGCGCCGAGGCGGAGGAGGUUAGGCGCGCCGGGAACGAGCAGUACAAGAACGGGUGCUUCGAGGAGGCGCUGCGGCUGUACGACCGCGCGCUCGCGCUGUGCCCCGACAGCGCCGCGUGCCGUGCCAACCGCGCCGCGGCGCUCAUCGGGCUCACCCGCCUCGGCGAGGCCGUCGAGGAGUGCGAGGAGGCCAUCCGGCUCGAUCCGUCCUACGGCCGCGCGCACCAGCGCCUCGCGUCGCUGCAAAUAAGGCUUGGGCGCACUGCUGAUGCUCGGAAGCAAAUUGGCAUGGGUGGCCUGCAGCCGGACAUUGUAGAGUUGCACAAAUUAGAAGCAGUGGAUAAACACUUGGGGAGAUUCGCUGAUGCGCGCAAGAUUGGCAACUGGAAAAGCGCGCUGAGGGAAUGCAACGCUGCAAUCGCGGCAGGAGCAGACUCUUGUGCAAUGCUCUUUGCUUCUAGAGCGGAAGCUCUUCUCCAGAUCAAUCAACUUGAUGAGGCUGAUUUGGCAAUCUCUAGAGCAUCCAAGCUUGAUUGUUCAUCCUCAUGCUCCCAGGACAUGAUGUUCUGUGGAUUUCAGUCCAACUCAUAUCUCUACUAUGUACAUGCCCAAGUUGACAUAGCUUUUGGAAGGUUUGAUAGUGCGAUGUCAUCAAUGGAGAAAGCUAGGAAAAUAGAUUCUGGAAACGUUGAAGUGAUGGCCAUGCAUAAGAGUGUGAGAACUGUUGCCCAAGCACGAACCUUAGGGAAUGAACUUUUUCAUUCUGGAAAAUUUGCAGAAGCUUUCCUAGCAUACGGCGAAGGGCUCAAGCAUCACCCUGCAAAUUCAGUCCUCUACUGCAAUAGGGCUGCUUGCAUGUUCAAGUUAGGGCAAUGGGAGAAGUCUAUUGAGGACUGCAAUGAAGCCCUUAAGAUUCAACCCAACUAUUGGAAGGCUCUCCUAAGGCGUGCAGCUUCCUAUGGCAAGAUUGAACAAUGGGCAGAUUCCGUGAAAGAUUAUGAGGUUCUUAGGAGGGAACUUCCUGGUGACACUGAGGUAGCAGAGGGGCAUUUCCAUGCCCUUGUUGCUCUUAGGUCAUCACGAGGUGAGGAUGUAUCCAAUAUGAAGUUUGGAGGAGAGGUUGAAGCACUUGUAGGAGCAGAACAAUUCCAGAUGGCUACAACCUUGCCAGGCACAAUAUUAUUGAAGAUCUUCCCAUUUCAUUGUUUCCAUGUGCACCAUGCUGCAAAACCACAAUCCAGACCAUGGACCAAUGAAGUCAUAGGACAGCAGGUAUGUUAGAUUUUAUAGCAAACUUUAACAAUUAAUAGAGUAUUACAUUUUUGCAGGUGUUUCUGUUGUUCAUUUCAUGGCACCUUUAAAUCAGCAAUGCUCUGAUAUCGCCCCAUUUGUGGAUGCACUGUGUACCAGAUAUCCAUCUGUUAAUUUCCUCAAGGUGGAUAUAACUGAGAACCCCACAGUGACACAAUUAGAAAAUGUCAAGACAGUUCCAACCUUCAAAAUUUACAAGGAUGGGACACGAGUGAUGGAGAUGAUCUGCCCCAGCCAUCAGCUGCUGGAGUCCUCACUGAGACAAUACGAGGUCUAGACCAUGACUUCAAUUAUUUAAUAUUACCUGCAAGUUCAACAUCCCCAAAAUUGACACAUGAUAGCCACAGCUAAGAAGGCAAUAUUUGUUUGCCCUCUGCGAAGGCGAGUGAAUAUAAGCGAGUGAUGUGAAAAUUUACCCCAUUUCGGCCAACCACAUUCUUCUGUGCAUUUUUACCAUCCCCAUUGUUAUUUAUGUAUCUUAUUUAUUCUUUCCAUAUAUAAUGUAUAUGCUUGCACUGUUCUUCUAAAACAUAAACAAUGUCUUACAUUCUUGUAUAGAAUAGGUGUAAAUUCUUGUUUUCAUUAAACUCGUAUAUUUAAGUUACUCAGUUUAUAUUCUGUGUAUCCACAAACCUUUAGCUGCGUCUGUAAGCUUUUGUUGCAGUUCUUUUAUACAGAUCUGUAUGUAAAUUAUAUGUAACCAUAUUGCCCAUAA